Molecule: long non-coding RNA, 610 nt
Filed under: Populus tremula
Lineage: Eukaryota; Viridiplantae; Streptophyta; Magnoliopsida; Malpighiales; Salicaceae
Description: long non-coding RNA (PTRE_LNC001645)
Source: RNAcentral
UAACAUCAUAUUUUGAAUUUUAUUUUUAUUUAAAAUAUAUAUUUUUUAUUUUUUUAUGAUCGUUUUUAAUAUGUUUGUGUUAAAAAUAAUUUUUUAAAAAUAAAAAAAUUAUUUUAGUAAUUUUUUAAAUAAAAAAUAUUUUAAACUGUCAUAACUAUCACAAUACCAAGCAUAUACCUACACAAUUCCAAGCAUAUACCUACAGAGACACCAAAACUAAAAUGAUUAUUUGUUUUUAUUUUAUUUAAGUAUUAAUAAACUAUAUUUCUAUAUUGCCAAAUAAGAUGAUCCCUAGACAGAACUUUUUUACGUUUUUGAAUGUCUCAUUUCAUUAUUUUUCAGGCAAAACUUCAUUUACUUAACAGAGUUCUAUAAUCAUUAAUAAAAUUUGACUAUUAUAAAAAAUAAAAUGGUCCCCAGACGUGUGUUCUAAAAUUUGAAUUUAGAAAAUUAUAUGUAUAAACUAUCAUUAACGUGUGUUCUAAAAUUUGAAAGACACAAAUGACAUGCAAUUAACCUCUAACUUGAAGCAGAAAGAGUCUCGUAAAUUGAUCGUUACUAUUUUUAAGAAUAUCCUCAGUUUAAUAUUGUUAUAUAUGUUUGGUUUCAG